GGGGGAGUAACAGCGGGAAACGCUGCUAAUACCGCAUGUCGUCAUCGGUCGCAUGGCCGGUGAAGAAAGCAGCAAUGCACGAUGGGGUGGGCCCGCGGCCUAUCAGCUAGUCGGUGGGGUAACGGCCUACCGAGGCGAUGACGGGUAGCUGGUCUGAGAGGACGACCAGCCACACGGGGACUGAGACACGGCCCCGACUCCUACGGGAGGCAGCAGUGAGGAAUCUUCCGCAAUGGGCGAAAGCCUGACGGAGCGACGCCGCGUGUGGGAUGAAGUCCUUCGGGAUGUAAACCACUGUUGGAGGGGAAGACAACUGACGGUACCCUCCGAGAAAGCCCCGGCUAACUACGUGCCA
This 355-nucleotide ribosomal RNA is filed under the name uncultured Devosia sp. RNAcentral's name for it is "bacterial SSU rRNA". It matches the Rfam family "Bacterial small subunit ribosomal RNA", at positions 137 to 510 of the family's 1533-position model. The record is from RNAcentral. Lineage: Bacteria; Pseudomonadati; Pseudomonadota; Alphaproteobacteria; Hyphomicrobiales; Devosiaceae.